Molecule: long non-coding RNA, 1013 nt
Organism: Pungitius pungitius (ninespine stickleback)
Lineage: Eukaryota; Metazoa; Chordata; Actinopteri; Perciformes; Gasterosteidae
Exons: 3
Source: RefSeq, a predicted model, not a curated record
CUUGCGGUGACAGCAGCGAGGCAACUGUUAACGCCCAGCUGCACCCUGCUGUUAGGAAACACCAUUCCUGUGUAACCACAUCUGGAUGGAUAGCAGACAGAUGUCAUCACAACAAUGCAGGUUCUGUGAUUAAAUGUUGGUAGCCGUAAUGUCAACAUUAAUCCUAGAUGCAGUUGUAGUCAAAUAAAAUAGAGGGUAGGACGUGUUUAUAAUUGAGUAUUUCAGUCAUCUUGCGUCCACAAUGACCGGGGACAACUGUGUAACCGUUUUGUUUUGAAAGUAUCAUUUGGAAACACUAUUGUCUUUUGUUGCUUUAAAGCCAAAGUGCAGCUGCCGUUCCUCACUAUAGCCACGAGAGGGCGUAAUACUCAUGACUAUUAAAAUGCAAGAGAUGUAAUACUGAUUAAACUAGCGUCCUUGAAAGUUACUCUAAAAUGAUUCAGCAAUUAUCCUACAUUUUACCUUAAUUGGAUUCUGACAGUGUCAACAUUCGUUUAAUAGUAUCUCUGCCAUACAUUAUUUUGACAGUCCUUAAAUCCACAUCCCUCACGCGCAAUAGACACUUUUAUUCCGGUUCCUCUCAAAGCGUGUGCCCAGUUGAGUAUUUAUUAUUAAAAGUUCCCCUAAUACGAUGAUUACAGGUUGAAGGAGAAAUCAUUUUUCUUGGAGACUGCCUGUGAUUAAUUUCUCCUGUCGGCUCCCUCCCGGUCCACCAGGCGGCGGUAAUGUUCCUCAAUGGCGCCUUUUUACCCGCGAAUAUAAAAACAGAAGAAAAUCUGCGUUUAAAUCACGAAGAAGCGGAUGUGGAGUCAUUUCUUGUUCUUCCUCCACUGGGAUGGCGUUGGUUGUACUGUUAUCAGACGAAGUGACGUAACUUAUCUAAAGCGGACUUAAAAACAGGUUCCCUGAAGGCACCACAUCUUGCACCAAGGAAAUGCCAGUUUGCUUAUGUAACGUUAUUUGAAUAUUGUCCUGUGAAAUAAAUCUGAAACAUUAAAUACAAUUUUCCCAAA